This is a long non-coding RNA of Cercocebus atys (sooty mangabey), 1494 nucleotides long. RefSeq lists it as uncharacterized. The transcript has 2 exons. The record is from RefSeq and is a predicted model, not a curated record. NCBI's taxonomy places the organism in Eukaryota, Metazoa, Chordata, Mammalia, Primates, Cercopithecidae.
CAGUGGAAAGCGGGCCAGGAAGCAGAGGUCCAGGUUCUAACUCUGAUUCUAUCACAAAACACUGCACCCAAAGCAACCAUGCAGCUUCCGAAGACCUCAUAUGUUCUCAUUCUGUCACCCAGGCUGGAGUGCAGUGGUGCAAUCUCAGCUCACUGCAACCUCUACCUCCUGGGUUCAAGCGAUUCUCCUGCCUCAGCCUCCUGAGUAGCUGGGAUUAGAGGUGCACCACCAUGCCCAGCUAAUUUUUGUAUUUUUAGUAGAGAUGGGGUUUCACCAUGUUGACCGGGCUGGUCUCGAACUCCUGAACCUCAAGUGAUCAGCCUGCCUCAGCCUCCCUAAGUGCUGGGAUUACAGCCAUGAGCCACCACACCUGGUGAACAAAUUUUUAAGGAAAAGAAGAAAGGCAAAUUAUUGACCUCGGCUUUCACCUUAACAAACUAGAAAAAUAAGACCAAAUGAAACCUGAAACAAAAAGGAGAAAAGAAAUAAUAAAAAUCAGAGUUGAAAUCAAUGAAACAGAACAGAAAAUAAUAGAGAACAUCAAUGAAAGGGAAUGUUAGUUCUUGAGAAAAUUGUUAAAUUUAUAAAUUCUAGUUAGAUUGAUCAGGAACAAAAGAGAAAAUAACAAUGACCAUUAUCAUAAAUGAAAUGGAUAACUUUAUUACAGAUUCUACAGAUAUUUUUAAAGUCUGAGGCACACACCUUUAAUAUAAAAACAGUUUUUAGUUCUGUCUAGGGAGGUAAGAUCUCAGGAAAAAGAAACGAAACAUCAAUAAAAGCACUUUUGCUCUGUUUUACAAAAUUGAAAAUCAAUCCUGUGCCUUGUCCGGGUUGUUUUAGGUACGCGAGUGUAAAACUGUAUGGUACCCACUGUAAUAGAUGAAGUCCAGCUUUACACUGUAUUCUGAUCAUGUGCUUAUGGUUUCAUCUGUGGGGUCCCCAGGACCCCUGCACACCGUAGGUGUGCACUAAACGUUGAGUAAGUCAAGACAGUUGGCACUGUCUUCCUAAUGUGCACUAGACUUCUGUAAUGACACAAAAGUCACCACCUGGAAUCCACGUGGGUUUCUGUGUCCUCCACCAAAUGUUCACCAAGCACUCCUCUGUGCAAGGCCUGAAACAACACAGAGGACAGAGAUUUGGGACUUUGAGUUAAAAUGGGAGUUAGAUGAGAUUUUGGACUUAGAGUUGACCCUAGAAGACUUAAGACCUUGGGGAACGUUAGGAUGGGGUGAAGGCAUUUCGCCUGGGGGAAGGACAUGAAUGUGGAGGAACCCGAGUGUGGACUGUUAUGGGUUGACCAGGAUCCUCAAAAACGAUGUUAAAGUCCUAACUCUCGCUACCUGUCCUUCUGGCCGUAUUUGGGAAUGGGGCUGUGCAGACGUCAUGAGUUAAGAUGAGAUCACACUGGAGAUCAUGGUAGGCCCUAAGCCAAUACGAGGGGUGUCGUUAUGAGCAGAGGGAAAUCCGAACACAAUACAGGGAAAGGGAAAA